RNAcentral lists this ribosomal RNA (255 nucleotides) under uncultured bacterium. Its description in RNAcentral is "partial 16S ribosomal RNA". It matches the Rfam family "Bacterial small subunit ribosomal RNA", at positions 524 to 776 of the family's 1533-position model. The record is from RNAcentral.
UACGGGGGGGGGUAAGCGUUGUUCGGAAUUACUGGGCGUAAAGGGCUCGUAGGCGGCCAACUAAGUCAGACGUGAAAUCCCUCAGCUUAACUGGGGAACUGCGUCUGAUACUGGAUGGCUUGGAUUCGGGAGAGGAAUGCGGAAUUCCAGGUGUAGCGGUGAAAUGCGUAGAUAUCUGGAGGAACACCGGUGGCGAAGGCGGCAUUCUGGACCGAUAUUGACGCUGAGGAGCGAAAGCCAGGGGGAGCAAACGGG